CUACACUUUUGAGUGUGAGAUUUCUUUUUUGAACCUAUUGACUCUCUCAUGGUUUUGCCUUCUUAUUAUUUAAAAACUUUAAUUGUGUAUUCUUCAGUGAAAAUUGUCAACACGUGAGAGUCCUGUGCUUGACCUAGGUUGUAGAGGCAGCAAUUUUUUACCCAAGUUUAUUUCUGUCAUAUUCCUACGGGUUUAAUUGGUUCUGGUUAUUCCUUUGUUUGCUUCUUGACACAGGUUUCUUUACCUUAGGAGUAAGUGUGAGUUUGGGUUCCACACUUUUUGUACAGGGUGGAUAUUCUUUUUCAUCUCAUGGCCCAGAGCAUGUGGCCUGUAUCUGUGUUACAUUUCCAUGCCAGAGGGCAGAUUUUGUUUUUCUAUUUCACUAACUCUAGCUCUCUUUUCAUGGAAGAGACAACUCCUUUGUUUUUUUUUUUUUUAAAGAUUUUAUUUUUUCCUUUUUCUCCCCAAAGCCCCCCAGUACAUAGUUGUAUAUUUCUCGUUGUGGGUUCUUCUAGUUGUGGUAUGUGGGACGCCGCCUCAGCGUGGUCUGACGAGCAGUGCCAUGUCCGCGCCCAGGAUUCGAACCAACGAAACACUGGGACGCCUGCAGCGGAGCGCGCGAACUUAACCACUCGGCCACGGGGCCAGCCCCGAGACAACUCCUUUCUGGUUCCUGGAUUUGUGGAUAAACUCUGGCUUCUAAGUUCUCGCUUCUUCCCUUGUACAAGCCACAAGAAUUCUGGUGAGUUCCAGGUGAUUAGGAAGAGACCACAGAAAACACGUGUAUGUGUGUGCAAACACACGCAAACACAUAUAGUAUGAGUAAAUGAAGUUUCCGGCUUAACUAGGUAAAGAUGUAAAUUCGUAUUGGAAGUACUAAGUUCACAUAGAGCAGGAAUUCAUGGGACAAAUCUCAUUUGAGCUUCCCUUGAUUUACAGAGCAAAGACAGUGACUUGUACCUGCCAGAUCUGAGGUGCUCAGUUCUCAUCACUUUAUGCUCACCAUUUGGAGUGCUUUAUACCAACACACUAGGUAUGUCUAUUUCAGGGAGAGUUUAAAAACACUGGAUUUUCCUUGUUUUUGCACCAAGCUCAGUGUUAGCAAGGCCACAUGCUCACUUGAGGAGAUAUAAGAAUCUGCACACAGAUGUUUUGAAUAAUUUCUCAGCCUUCAGCUUGCUGCUGUCCUGGACAGCCUGUUUCUCCACAGGUCACCUUUUAUUCUGAUUUUAUUCUGAUUUAUCUGGAUAACUCUGAUAAUUAAUCUGAUCUAAAUCCAUUAUUCUAAAGUAGAAUUCAAACGGCAAGCAUUUAUUGAGCAUUGACUAUCUCCCAGCCAGAAUGUAGCUGCUGCGGAAGUAGUGGACUCAGACAUCGUCCUUGUCUCAGGUGGAGUUCACGGCCUGCAUCUGCAGCAAGUUUGCAUGCUUUUUCCUCUGGAACCUCCAGGCUUCAUCAGGCCAUGAUGAGUCAGAUGCAUUUAGACGUGAUCCGGUGUGUUGGCAUGCAGAAAGUGGGUGAUUGGGCCGACAGACGUAUCCGUUGAAGCAGUACUAAGGAGCUUCUAUGCUACAAACACAGGACUUCUGAUAAAAUUCUGAUGUAAUUUUCAUAAAGAAAUAAAGUAUGUGACACAUUUAUGGUUUACAUGCUGCAUUAUUGAGUACAUUCUUUACCUGAUCAGAGAGAACUCACAUUUUGUCUUGGCAUUGAUGAGAAGCGAAUCUUUCACCUAUAACUUUACAUGUUUGGGGAUUGGAAAACUAUCUAAAAGCUAGUUUCUGGUCAUUCACUUCUUUCUCUCUUUUUCCUGCUCUGCUACCCACAUACUUCUGGUCCUAGGCCUUCAAAAACAUGUUCAUGUCAUGGUACCACCUCUGGAUCUGUCAGUAGUUGGUAGGAGGACUUCUGGGAGCCAUCGUACGGAUUGCAAUAACUUAACCGUACACAGAAAUCAUGACAAAUCCGAAAACUGUGCUCCAGUAAAUCUAAACUAAAUGUGUCUCCAAAUAAUUUCCCCUUGGCUGGAUCUCAAAAAUAUCUUUGGCUACUCUCUUGUCAUCCAAAAUCAGAGGAUAGAAAUGGAGUAGAAGGAGACAGAUUUCUUAACAAAAUUCAGCUAAAAUAUUUAAUUUUACAAGAUUUUGCAAAACCACAUAACCUUCAGGGUCAUGGAAGGGGCGGAUAAAAGUGAGGUAUGCUGAAGUUUCAAUAGUUUUACAGCAGACCUGACUCUAGGCAGUGCUAAAAUUUUAAAGAUGUAGAUUUUGCAUCUGGAGUUGAAAUCCUUGACUCUCCCUUGUUGGAUAAAAGUGUAAAAGCAGACGAAUGACUGAG
This 2337-nucleotide long non-coding RNA is filed under the name Equus caballus (horse). Its description in RNAcentral is "lncRNA (ENSECAG00000055532.1)". The record is from RNAcentral. Lineage: Eukaryota; Metazoa; Chordata; Mammalia; Perissodactyla; Equidae.